GACAGAGGGUGCAAACGUUGUUCGGAAUUACUGGGCGUAAAGCGCGUGUAGGCUGCUUCGCAAGUCGGGUGUGAAAGCCCUGGGCUCAACCUAGGAAGUGCACUCGAAACUGCGAAGCUGGAGUCCUGGAGAGGAAGGCGGAAUUCUCGGUGUAGAGGUGAAAUUCGUAGAUAUCGAGAGGAACCCCGGUGGCGAAGGCGGCCUUCUGGACAGUGACUGACGCUGAGACGCGAAAGCGUGGGGAGCAAACAGG
This 253-nucleotide ribosomal RNA is filed under the name uncultured bacterium. Its description in RNAcentral is "partial 16S ribosomal RNA". It matches the Rfam family "Bacterial small subunit ribosomal RNA", at positions 524 to 776 of the family's 1533-position model. The record is from RNAcentral.